UGAGGAAUUUUGCACAAUGGGGGAAACCCUGAUGCAGCGACGCCGUGUGAGGGAUGAAGGGGCUUUGCCCUGUAAACCUCUGUCGGGGGAGAAAAAAAGUACGGUCACCGUACUGGGAUUGUAUCCCCAAAGGAAGGGUCGGCUAACUACGUGCCAGCAGCCGCGGUAAUACGUAGGACCCGAGCGUUGUCCGGAUUUACUGGGUGUAAAGGGUGCGCAGGCGGAUCUGUGCGUCGGAGGUUAAAGACCCGGGCUCAACCCGGGAAGUGCCUUCGAUACGGCGGAUCUUGAGUAUGAGAGAGGAGGGUAGAAUUCCUGGUGUAGCGGUGAAAUGCGUAGAUAUCAGGAGGAAUACCAGUGGCGAAGGCGGCCCUCUGGCUCAUUACUGACGCUCAGGCACGAAAGCGUGGGUAGCAAACAGG
Molecule: ribosomal RNA, 422 nt
Filed under: uncultured bacterium
Lineage: Bacteria
Description: bacterial SSU rRNA
Rfam family: Bacterial small subunit ribosomal RNA
Source: RNAcentral